UACAAAAUUCAUUACCCCACACAAAUCUUGCCUUUAUAGAGAAGGCCACCCAACAAGAAACCAUUACCACACACAUCCUAGUUCAGCUCAAACAAAGAUCUCAUUCCUCAACUAGGAGCAUUCAAAGGACCCAAUGACUUCAUCUUCAAGCGUUGAAAUGGAUCCCGAGUUGGCUGAAUUUUACGCGAAUUUUUACCCCGUUGAAGAUGAAGACGAGGAAGUGGUUGAUGGACCAAUAGGAGAUCUUGUUGGAGAAUGGAUUGCUAACUUGGACCAUGUUGAUGACUAUGUUUGGAUGGUCAAGGUUACUACUCUUUUGAUUCAAUUAAAAAAAUGUUAUGCAUAUUCCUAACCACGUUGCCAUUCAAAGCUUUCAUGUGAAUCAAAGUAAUAUUGUUCUUCAUGAUGAAGAUAAUGGUACAUUAUUUGAAUGCGAAAUCCUUUCAUCUGCUAAAAUUGAAAAUAAGAAAUACAUUGGAAAAGGUUGGUAUGAUUAUGUUCGGCAAGGGCAUCUCAAAGUUGGCGAUACAUUGUUCUUUGUUGUUGAGAAUCCAUCGGAUAGGCUCUAUGUAACAGUCAUUAGAAAUUAAAACAUUAGAGUAUGAA
This is a long non-coding RNA of Medicago truncatula (barrel medic), 606 nucleotides long. RefSeq lists it as uncharacterized. The transcript has 3 exons. NCBI's taxonomy places the organism in Eukaryota, Viridiplantae, Streptophyta, Magnoliopsida, Fabales, Fabaceae. The record is from RefSeq and is a predicted model, not a curated record.